RNAcentral lists this ribosomal RNA (483 nucleotides) under uncultured bacterium. RNAcentral describes it as "bacterial SSU rRNA". It matches the Rfam family "Bacterial small subunit ribosomal RNA", at positions 28 to 507 of the family's 1533-position model. The record is from RNAcentral.
GAUGAACGCUGGCGGCGUGCCUAACACAUGCAAGUCGAACGGAGUUCUUAAGGAAUGCGACUUCGGUCAAAUGACUUUUGAACUUAGUGGCGGACGGGUGAGUAACGCGUGAGCAACCUGCCUUUCAGAGGGGGAUAACAUUUGGAAACAAAUGCUAAUACCGCAUAAGAUUACAGUACCGCAUGAUACAGUGAUCAAAGGAGCAAUCCGCUGAAAGAUGGGCUCGCGUCCGAUUAGAUAGUUGGCGGGGUAACGGCCCACCAAGUCGACGAUCGGUAGCCGGACUGAGAGGUUGACCGGCCACAUUGGGACUGAGAUACGGCCCAGACUCCUACGGGAGGCAGCAGUGGGGAAUAUUGGGCAAUGGACGCAAGUCUGACCCAGCAACGCCGCGUGAAGGAGAAGGCUUUCGGGUUGUAAACUUCUUUUAAGGGGGAACAGUAGAAGAGGGUACCCCUUGAAUAAGCCACGGCUAACUACGUG